GAUGAACGCUGGCGGCGUGCCUAAUACAUGCAAGUCGAGCGAACGGACGAGAAGCUUGCUUCUCUGAUGUUAGCGGCGGACGGGUGAGUAACACGUGGAUAACCUACCUAUAAGACUGGGAUAACUUCGGGAAACCGGAGCUAAUACCGGAUAAUAUUUUGAACCGCAUGGUUCAAAAGUGAAAGACGGUCUUGCUGUCACUUAUAGAUGGAUCCGCGCUGCAUUAGCUAGUUGGUAAGGUAACGGCUUACCAAGGCAACGAUGCAUAGCCGACCUGAGAGGGGGAUCGGCCACACUGGAACUGAGACACGGUCCAGACUCCUACGGGAGGCAGCAGUAGGGAAUCGUCCGCAAUGGGCGAAAGCCUGACGGAGCAACGCCGCGUGAGUGAUGAAGGUCUUCGGAUCGUAAAACUCUGUUAUUAGGGAAGAACAUAUGUGUAAGUAACUGUGCACAUCUUGACGGUACCUAAUCAGAAAGCCACGGCUAACUACGUG
This 497-nucleotide ribosomal RNA is filed under the name uncultured bacterium. RNAcentral describes it as "partial 16S ribosomal RNA". It matches the Rfam family "Bacterial small subunit ribosomal RNA", at positions 28 to 507 of the family's 1533-position model. The record is from RNAcentral.